This 496-nucleotide ribosomal RNA is filed under the name uncultured bacterium. RNAcentral describes it as "partial 16S ribosomal RNA". It matches the Rfam family "Bacterial small subunit ribosomal RNA", at positions 29 to 507 of the family's 1533-position model. The record is from RNAcentral.
AUGAACGCUGGCGGCGUGCCUAAUACAUGCAAGUCGCGCGAACAGACGAGGAGCUUGCUCCUCUGACGUUAGCGGCGGACGGGUGAGUAACACGUGGAUAACCUACCUAUAAGACUGGGAUAACUUCGGGAAACCGGAGCUAAUACCGGAUAAUAUAUUGAACCGCAUGGUUCAAUAGUGAAAGACGGUUUUGCUGUCACUUAUAGAUGGAUCCGCGCCGCAUUAGCUAGUUGGUAAGGUAACGGCUUACCAAGGCAACGAUGCGUAGCCGACCUGAGAGGGUGAUCGGCCACACUGGAACUGAGACACGGUCCAGACUCCUACGGGAGGCAGCAGUAGGGAAUCUUCCGCAAUGGGCGAAAGCCUGACGGAGCAACGCCGCGUGAGUGAUGAAGGUCUUCGGAUCGUAAAACUUUGUUAUUAGGGAAGAACAAAUGUGUAAGUAACUAUGCACGUCUUGACGGUACCUAAUCAGAAAGCCACGGCUAACUACGUG